AUGAGCAAGCCUGUGAAGAUCGGGCCAUGGGGCGGCGAUGGAGGCGAACCUCGCGACAUCGAAUACACUCCUUUCGCACUAGUUGGUGUGGCAGUUCGUAGUGGGGACGCAAUCAACGGUGUCAGGUUUACUUACGUGGAUACCAGUGGGAAUCUGCAUGAGGAGGAAUGGGGAGGCUCCGAGGCGGAGAAAUUUGAGGAGUUGCUUCUUCAAGAAUUAGAAUAUGUGGAGGAAAUUUCAGGAACGUACGGUUCACCCCCUGAAUCAUAUGUAACAUCUCUUGAAUUGGUUACCAACAAGGGUCGGACUAUCCGUGGCGGCACUGCCGGCUCUGGGGGUUCUUUCAACGUCCCGCUAGUUUCCGCCCGGAUCAUCGGCUUCUUUGGAGCUGCGGGGACGACUUACAUUGACUCCUUUGGCAUCUAUGUGGGCUUUGCUGCAUGA
This 444-nucleotide ribosomal RNA is filed under the name Triticum aestivum (bread wheat). RNAcentral describes it as "partial small subunit ribosomal RNA". Lineage: Eukaryota; Viridiplantae; Streptophyta; Magnoliopsida; Poales; Poaceae. The record is from RNAcentral.